CUUCGAAUGGGAAUCGUAAGAAUUGGGCUGUGGAUAAAGGGUGCUCGAAGCCUCGAGGCCCAUGUGAGGCCACUCAGCCCAUCUAAUGGGGUUCUUCUGUUCCCUGCAGAGGGGAGGCCGAAGAUCAGAAAACAGAAAAGCAUUGGCAGAAAGUGAGGAGGAAAAAGUAGAAAGGCAGGAUCUUUUGCAUGCGCGCUGUGAGCGUCACGACGACAGGUCGGCUUAGCUUCGUUUCGCAGUAUUCGUGUAAUCACAGCAGUACCAGCUGUGACUAUUAAGCAGCUCGUAAUCUUCUGAGGUUGGCCUGAGCAGGAGCUUGUGAGGGAGGUCGAAUGAGUCUAUUCCAAAUGGUUAUGUUGCUCCCACUUCAGAAGUCAGAGUCUUUAGUUUUGCAGAGGUAAAAGUUGCAACAAGAAGCUUCAGAUCUGAUACAAUUCUCGGCGAGGGUGCUUUUGGUGGAGUUUUCAAUGGCUGCCUUGAUGUUAGGGGUCUUCCCAGAGCAAACGAAUGACUCCAAUUACCAUAAAAAAGUUGAACCCAGAGAGCAAGUAUUCAAAAAGUGGAAGGUUGUCAGGAUGUAAAGUGAUGAGACGCAAAUGGUUAAGGCAUAUCUGUUUUGGAAAGCAUAUUUGAGUGGCCGUCUGGGGGUGUGUGGAUGAGAAGGCAACCUGCUGCAAAUUUUUAAAUGUAGGAACUCUUCUUGCAUCCCACAGAAGGAAUUUAGGCCCUGCAUCAGAAACUAUUGUGACUUAUAUUAUUGCUUGUUAAGCUAAAUUCAGAGGAUGCCACUUCAAUAUACCUGAAACAUUGAAUCCCAAUAUGAGUUUUAUGACAUUAGAGCCACUUCUGGAAUUUCUCAACAUAGUUCUAGGAACUAAAACCAUCCUUAGUGAGGAUAUUUUAUUUGUGAAAAAAUAUGCUGGCCGCCCCUGAAAGUGAGGUGAAAUAAUUGUUUGAGUCCAAACUUAUGCUACUUUAGGAGACACUGAACAUAUCUAUCCUUCUUCAUGUAUCCUUGGAAGAAGGAAUACGAUUAUGUGGUUUCUUUUUCAUGAAUCGCCUGGUAAAAGGAGGUUGACAUGUUAUUAGCAUACGAGUCUUUUAAAAGGGAAAAGAUGAGGAGGGAAGGACUUAGCCUCGACAUAAAUCAAAUUUAGCAUUUGAAUUUUUCAAAAUUGAUCAUCACUCAAGAUGCUAUUGUCUUUCUUGGAAGGUGGACAUCAACUUUGCACUACACAAGAUGAGGGCAUUCUUUUCUCAUGUUACAUAUCAAAGCUUGUUUGGUUCUGCGUUUUAGAUGCUACAUGGUCACCCAUACAGUCAUCAAUCUCAUCCUUUAUUGGCUUUGCCGAUGCCAAAAUCGCUCGAGGGAUUUUUACUGGCUUUAUAACUAGGAUGAGCACUUUAGAUUUGCUUACUUCUUGGUUUACAUGAAUUUGAGGUUGUGUAAUUACAAAAAGGCAUGUGAAAUUCAACCCGCAUUUGUCAGGAUUUACUAUUGAACAUGAGUGAUGAUGCAUCAUUGAAUAUUUCAUCCCAGUUUUUAUUGCAGAUUAUUUGCUACCACAAAAAAUUUGUAGGGUGCAUCCACGGUAGAUGGCUCUUAGGGUGCCAUUGUGGGUUUCUUUAAUUUCUUAUCACACAAUUGGCCGUUCUAUCUCCUCUCUUUUUCUGUGGGGGAUGCCUGUUUGCUUUUUAUUCUGAAAAAAUAUGAAAUUAUGAGGUUUUGCCCUAUUUUGGUAUGAAAGUAUUAACGUCUUGUGGUCAUUGGUGAACUUCCUGGGCAGCUUAUCUCGUCCAAACAUUGUCAGGCUAAUGGGAUACUGUUUGGAGGAUAAAGAACUACUUCUUGUCCAUGAGUUCAUGCCAGAGGUUAUUCUAAAGAACCACCACUUUGGAAGUUAUGUUCUUUCUUUGAUAAUAUAUACAUGCUUGCCUUAAAUUUAUUGCAAAUAUGGUCUUUUGUUGUUUCAAUGUACUACACAAACAUAUGUCUUUCCUGCUGCAGGGGGGCUCGGCCAUUGAACCACUUCCAUGGUGAAAGGCCUCACGUUCUUGCACCUGUUAGGCAGGCUAAUAAUCUGCAGACAUAUCAAUCCCCCAAACAUAUUGCCGGACUGAGUUUUCACAUAUAACACAGGAG
This is an RNA transcript of Rhodamnia argentea, 2143 nucleotides long. It is a transcript of the gene named probable serine/threonine-protein kinase PIX13, with no coding region annotated. The transcript has 5 exons. NCBI's taxonomy places the organism in Eukaryota, Viridiplantae, Streptophyta, Magnoliopsida, Myrtales, Myrtaceae. The record is from RefSeq and is a predicted model, not a curated record.